Molecule: ribosomal RNA, 496 nt
Filed under: uncultured bacterium
Lineage: Bacteria
Description: partial 16S ribosomal RNA
Rfam family: Bacterial small subunit ribosomal RNA
Source: RNAcentral
GAUGAACGCUGGCGGCGUGCCUAAUACAUGCAAGUCGAGCGAACAGAUAAGGAGCUUGCUCCUUUGACGUUAGCGGCGGACGGGUGAGUAACACGUGGAUAACCUACCUAUAAGACUGGGAUAACUUCGGGAAACCGGAGCUAAUACCGGAUAACAUAUUGAACCGCAUGGUUCAAUAGUGAAAGGCGGCUUUGCUGUCACUUAUAGAUGGAUCCGCGCCGUAUUAGCUAGUUGGUAAGGUAACGGCUUACCAAGGCAACGAUACGUAGCCGACCUGAGAGGGUGAUCGGCCACACUGGAGCUGAGACACGGUCCAGACUCCUACGGGAGGCAGCAGUAGGGAAUCUUCCGCAAUGGGCGAAAGCCUGACGGAGCAACGCCGCGUGAGUGAUGAAGGUCUUCGGAUCGUAAAACUCUGUUAUCAGGGAAGAACAAAUGUGUAAGUAACUGUGCACAUCUUGACGGUACCGGAUCAGAAAGCCACGGCUAACUACGU